GACGAACGCUGGCGGCGUGCUUAACACAUGCAAGUCGAACGGAAAGGCCUCUUUCUUGGGGUACUCGAGUGGGGAGCGGGUGAGUAACACGUGAGUAACCUGCCCUUUUCUUUGGGAUAACUUCAUGAAACUGGGGGUAAUACCGGAUAGAAGCUCCUGCGGCAUGGGGGGGGGGGUAGAGUUUCGGCGGUUGGGGGUGGACUCUCGGCGUAUCAGCGUGUUGGUGGGGGAGUGGCUUACCCAGGCGUUGACGGGGAGGCGGCCUGGGAGGGUGACCGGCCAACUUGGGACUGAGAUACGGCCCCGACUCCUAAGGGAGGCAAAAGUGGGGAAUUUUGCACAAUGGGGGGGAGGCCGAUGAAGAAACGCCGUGUGCCGGAUGACGGUCUUAGGGUUGUAAAACGCUUUCGCUCAUGACGAAGCUUUGUGUGACGGUAGUGGGUAAAGAAGCACCGGCUAACUACGUG
This 467-nucleotide ribosomal RNA is filed under the name uncultured bacterium. Its description in RNAcentral is "partial 16S ribosomal RNA". It matches the Rfam family "Bacterial small subunit ribosomal RNA", at positions 28 to 507 of the family's 1533-position model. The record is from RNAcentral.